Molecule: long non-coding RNA, 1350 nt
Filed under: Triticum aestivum (bread wheat)
Lineage: Eukaryota; Viridiplantae; Streptophyta; Magnoliopsida; Poales; Poaceae
Description: long non-coding RNA (TAES_LNC024467)
Source: RNAcentral
AACAAUUUCCAAACAGAACUGAAUUUCUCUGAUAGAUUGAAAUACAAAAGUCAAAAAGGCUACUCCGGAUUGAGUUUCUCAAAACUAUGCACAUGUGAGGCUUAAUGUACCCAAAAAAACCCGGAUCAAAUCCAAUAGAAUGUCUGAAAAUCUUGCAGCGGCCUUGGCUAAUAGAUUGAGAUCCAAAAUCUAAAAGGGAGCUUAUAGGCGCCGGCGUGCCGGCCGAACUGUUGGGCCAGUCAAACCCCAGCCGCCCGAUACAUCCCUUCCCAACCGUCUGAUUGCUUUGUUUUAAAAGUCAAACACGCAGAAAAAAACACGCACAGGAAAUACAGAAAAAGGGCAGCAUGCGCACAUGCCAGAUCCAUGCGCUCGCAGGCCGCCCGCGAUAGUCCUCGUCUUCCCGUGCCUGCUUGCCACCAUUGCCACCGCGCCCGUCACCCGCGCUCGCCUGCCGCUUGCCUGCCGCUCGUGCCUGGCACUUGCCUCGACUACCUCUGCUCGUCAUGGUUGCAACUCGAACAUAAGAGGGUUCCAGCGCGCUGUUAUCAUGGUUGGAGCAUCCCCGACGUCCCUGUCUCCGGCUCGCCACCGUUGACAACUUGCACCGCCAUGUCUAGCAAAAAAGCAACAAAAACCUCCAUUGUUGGUUUGAAGCAAAAAGAUUUGCCGGUUCCAGCAAAAAAAUAAUGAUGGUUCCAGCAAAAAUCUCAACAGCACAAAAACUUCGGUAGUCGAUUUGUAGCAAACAAUUAGCUAGUUCCAGCAAAAAGAAACGUUGGUUCCAACAAAAAAUCAUGCCGCUUCGAGCAAGAAUGUUUGCUAGUUCCAGCAAAUUACAUGACAUUGUGAUGCAUGUUGGAUGUAGCAAUUGAGAACAUUGGUUGUAGCAAAAACUCAAACGGUGGUAGCAAAGAAAUUGAUGCACUGGUUCCCCCAAAAAAAACAUGGUAGCAAAAUAAUUGAUUGGUUCCAGCAAAAACCGAAGUUGGUUGUAGCAAAAAUGUAAAGUGGUUGUACCAAAAACAAAUGACAUGGUAGCAAAAAUUUGGGUUGGUUCCAUCAAAAAGAAACGAACAUGGUGGUAGCAAAAAAAUUGAUUGGUUCUAGCAAAAACUGAAGAUGGUGGUAGCAAAAUUGAAAACUGGUUGUACCAAAAAGCAAAUGACAUGGCAACAAAAUUUUGAGUUGGUUCCAAAAAAAUUACAUGGUGGUAGCAAAAUCUUACACUGGUUCCAGCAAAAAGCAAGGGCGUUGGCAGCAAAAAAUGGGGCUGCUUCCAUGCAAAGAAAAUGAUGGAUCUCCAUCACUUGUCGCCGUGGUUGCAACGCCCCAACACCGGCCGCCGCG